This 285-nucleotide long non-coding RNA is filed under the name Elaeis guineensis (African oil palm). RNAcentral's name for it is "long non-coding RNA (EGUI_LNC017581)". The record is from RNAcentral. Lineage: Eukaryota; Viridiplantae; Streptophyta; Magnoliopsida; Arecales; Arecaceae.
GGUUGUGCGCUGGUGUUUGUGGACCCUGCCAGUGGGGGUUGUGCGCUGGUAUUUGUGGACCCUGCCAGUGGGGAUUGUGCGCUGGUAUUCUGUGGACCCCGUCAAUGGGGGUUAAACGUUGGUCAUAGUCGAGGCUGUUGAGUUACGAGUGUUUUGAAUCGAAUCGGAUUUAUAAUUAUAUUAUAUGUGAAUAUUUGAAAUUAUUAGAUUUGCAUUAAAUCAGCAUGAAAUAUAUUUUUAUGUUUAUUUGCAGCAUUAUUCUUGAAAAUUAUAUAAUAUCUGAAA